RNAcentral lists this long non-coding RNA (208 nucleotides) under Elaeis guineensis (African oil palm). RNAcentral's name for it is "long non-coding RNA (EGUI_LNC044599)". Lineage: Eukaryota; Viridiplantae; Streptophyta; Magnoliopsida; Arecales; Arecaceae. The record is from RNAcentral.
ACCUGCUUCUCAAUAGAAAAACUUCCAUUCGACACGUGGGACUUCAGGAGAAGGAAAAAAAAAUCACGUGGAUAAAAAAAAUCACAAAAUCCUGACCAUCAUUUCAUGGCUGAAUGACGAGAGAUUUGAAGAAUUUUUGAAGGGGAGAAAAAGCGUCACCGCGGAGACCGAAGACUACCUUUCUCCUCGACCACUGAAAUCACCGUGC